Molecule: RNase P RNA, 385 nt
Filed under: Thermaerobacter sp. FW80
Lineage: Bacteria; Bacillati; Bacillota; Clostridia; Eubacteriales; Clostridiales Family XVII. Incertae Sedis
Description: RNase P RNA component class A
Rfam family: Bacterial RNase P class A
About the family: Ribonuclease P (RNase P) is a ubiquitous endoribonuclease, found in archaea, bacteria and eukarya as well as chloroplasts and mitochondria. Its best characterised activity is the generation of mature 5'-ends of tRNAs by cleaving the 5'-leader elements of precursor-tRNAs.
Source: RNAcentral
CGAGUCAGCCGGGUGAUCGCGGGCGCAGGGCCGCAAGGCCGCGUCCGAGGAAAGUCCGGGCUGCGCAGGGCACGGUGCUGGGUAACGCCCAGCGGGGGCGACCCCCGGGAAAGUGCCACAGAAACAUACCGCCGGCGGGUCGGCGCGCGCGGCGUCGCGCCGCGCGGCGGCCGGCCGCCGGUAAGGGUGAAACGGUGCGGUAAGAGCGCACCAGCGGCCAGGCGACUGGCCGGCUAGGCAAACCCCACCGGCAGCAAGGCCGAGUAGGAGGGCGAUGAGGUGGCCCGCUGAGCCCUCGGGUUGGCCGCUCGAGGCCCCGGGCAACCGGGUGCCCCAGAUAGAUGAUCACCCUCGACAGAACCCGGCUUACAGGCUGACUCGGCCC